AAAACCAAUGAAAGGCCCCGGGCAACCGCCCGGGGCCUUUCAUUGCCUUA
RNAcentral lists this small RNA (50 nucleotides) under Paenibacillus sp. P22. The record is from RNAcentral. Lineage: Bacteria; Bacillati; Bacillota; Bacilli; Caryophanales; Paenibacillaceae.